RNAcentral lists this long non-coding RNA (785 nucleotides) under Bemisia tabaci. RNAcentral's name for it is "lncRNA ENSSSA1NGG000816". Lineage: Eukaryota; Metazoa; Arthropoda; Insecta; Hemiptera; Aleyrodidae. The record is from RNAcentral.
ACCGCUCCACCAUUGAGGAAGGGUGAAAAGAGCAUCCCCGUCCCGGCCCCUGCACGGGGGGUGCGCAGCCGUGUCCCUGUCCCUUGCACGGUGGCGCUCCCGGCGGCAGGAGCGCGCACUCCGCCAGUCGGCGCCCUUCCGCGGUUGCUCCCGUGUUAUCAGUUGAGAUUCGGUUCCGCUUCGCUUUUGACACGGUCCGCGCUCCGCGUAUCAUGGAUUUGAUUUUGUGGUUAUGUCCGGUCGCGAGUGAUGGUAAUUUCACGUUGUUCUCUAUGAAUUAGGUAUCCCGUCCGAGUGUUUGGAUAUGGUGCAUUUUUAUGAAUAGUGGUGCGGGUUUGGUGAGUGGUAUUUUUGUGGGUUCGUGCGUAGCAGGCUCAUGAUACUGGUGCUACUCUCGCCAAGGUUUUCCGCUGAGUUUGGAGUCCUCCGUCCAUUCUGAAAGACCACGCCAUGAAAGCGCGACGGAUAAUUUUGUGGCUCCUGCGAAUCAUGAUAUGGCGGUGGAAAAUCGAUCUCACAGGAGCCUGUCCGUUCAAAAGCCACUGGUCUGGUCGAUGGUUUCAGUCGCAAGUGCCGCAUCAUAUCGUGAUCAACGGGUCCACGUUCGACACGAAAGGCCUUUGCAUAGAGUCGAAAGGAGACAAGUUCAUCAUCGAAGAUAGGUCGGAAAACUGUUUUUCGGUGCGUUGUGAUACAUGAAAAGCAUCCAAAUGUUCUGCAGUAUAAAGAAACGUCGGCGUGCUACAACAAGGAGCCUUUGGACAAGCUGUGCAGUCAGAUCUCGG